Non-coding RNA from Pimephales promelas (fathead minnow), 943 nucleotides. The record is from RefSeq and is a predicted model, not a curated record. Lineage: Eukaryota; Metazoa; Chordata; Actinopteri; Cypriniformes; Leuciscidae.
GUAAUGAAAUUACGGGCCUGUUGCAGUUUCAUUCCACACUUUAUGUUACAUAUUUAUAUUACACGUUGCUCUUUAUAUUACAUGUAGGCCUUUAUAUAAUACAGAUGUCAUGAAAUUGCUUUACAAUAAAAGUAAAAGCAAAAUGGUAUUAAAAAGCAUAAUUGUCAACUGAAUGGGUCAUAGAACUACACAAUGAGUUUAAAUUCAUUAUAUAAAAUUAAUGAUAUUUUAAAUUGUUAAAUGUUAUAAUUCUAGAUGUUUAUUUAAAUGCUGCGUGCCUUUUGACGUGUUCUAUGGUUUCAAUAUGGGCGUACGUGCGCGAGUCGCAUUCAAAUCUGAUUCAAAGACAGGAGCGCGCGCGAGCAGAUGGAAACCAUGGAAACGAGGAAACCCAUCAACUGACAAACAGCAAACUAGCGUCUCUCACUGUUGUUUUCUCUGCUUUCAGAUCAUCAUAGAUGUCCUGCUGCACCCCCUGGGGUCCAAGACAAUCUCCACGGCUUCGACCUCGACUAUAGGGGUUAUGGCUGUGCUCUUGUUACCAGAUGAGAUAUCAUUUGAUCCUGUGAUUCUUCAGGACAAGAUCUUGAUGCCAUCCACACCCAGUACAUGACGAAGGUUUUCUGGGAUCCACAGUGGAAGGCAUCAAGGCGUGAGAUGUUGGCUGGACAGAUGUACCUGUACACCACACCGACCUCUGCUUUUACAUGGAUGGCGGAUUACUAUCAUGUUCUGUAAAGGUUUCAUUAUAGCAAAACAGAGCACCUGUGACAGUGGAAUCUGUAGGUGUAACGUAGUCAGUUAAAAGUAGUCAGGUGUAAAGUAGUCACAGAGAGAACGUUUUUUUUUUUUUAAGUUUCAAACUUUUUUCUCUUUCACAAAAAACACUGCAGUUACAGCUUUUCAAAUUCUUCAUUGGAGGUGUACAAAUAAUUUUCUUUUU